RNAcentral lists this ribosomal RNA (493 nucleotides) under uncultured bacterium. Its description in RNAcentral is "partial 16S ribosomal RNA". It matches the Rfam family "Bacterial small subunit ribosomal RNA", at positions 29 to 508 of the family's 1533-position model. The record is from RNAcentral.
AGUGAACGCUGGCGGUAGGCCUAACACAUGCAAGUCGAACGGCAGCACAGUAAGAGCUUGCUCUUACGGGUGGCGAGUGGCGGACGGGUGAGGAAUACAUCGGAAUCUACUUUUUCGUGGGGGAUAACGUAGGGAAACUUACGCUAAUACCGCAUACGACCUACGGGUGAAAGCAGGGGAUCUUCGGACCUUGCGCGAUUGAAUGAGCCGAUGUCGGAUUAGCUAGUUGGCGGGGUAAAGGCCCACCAAGGCGACGAUCCGUAGCUGGUCUGAGAGGAUGAUCAGCCACACUGGAACUGAGACACGGUCCAGACUCCUACGGGAGGCAGCAGUGGGGAAUAUUGGACAAUGGGCGCAAGCCUGAUCCAGCCAUACUGCGUGGGUGAAGAAGGCCUUCGGGUUGUAAAGCCCUUUUGUUGGGAAAGAAAAGCAGCAGGUUAAUACCCCGCUGUUCUGACGGUACCCAAAGAAUAAGCACCGGCUAACUUCGUGC